CACGGCUAACUACGUGCCAGCAGCCGCGGUAAUACGUAGGUGGCAAGCGUUAUCCGGAAUUAUUGGGCGUAAAGCGCGCGUAGGCGGUUUUUUAAGUCUGAUGUGAAAGCCCACGGCUCAACCGUGGAGGGUCAUUGGAAACUGGAAAACUUGAGUGCAGAAGAGGAAAGUGGAAUUCCAUGUGUAGCGGUGAAAUGCGCAGAGAUAUGGAGGAACACCAGUGGCGAAGGCGACUUUCUGGUCUGUAACUGACGCUGAUGUGCGAAAGCGUGGGGAUCAAACAGG
Molecule: ribosomal RNA, 285 nt
Filed under: Staphylococcus aureus
Lineage: Bacteria; Bacillati; Bacillota; Bacilli; Caryophanales; Staphylococcaceae
Description: partial 16S ribosomal RNA
Rfam family: Bacterial small subunit ribosomal RNA
Source: RNAcentral